AUUGAACGCUGGCGGAAUGCUUUACACAUGCAAGUCGAGCGGCAGCACGGGGGCAACCCUGGUGGCGAGCGGCGAACGGGUGAGUAACACAUCGGAACAUGCCCAGUCGUGGGGGAUAACACUUCGAAAGAAGUGCUAAUACCGCAUACGUCCUGAGGGAGAAAGCGGGGGAUCGCAAGACCUCGCGCGAUUGGAGUGGCCGAUGUCAGAUUAGCUAGUUGGUGGGGUAAAGGCCUACCAAGGCAACGAUCUGUAGCUGGUCUGAGAGGAUGAUCAGCCACACUGGGACUGAGACACGGCCCAGACUCCUACGGGAGGCAGCAGUGGGGAAUUUUGGACAAUGGGGGCUACCCUGAUCCAGCCAUUCCGCGUGAGUGAAGAAGGCCUUCGGGUUGUAAAGCUCUUUCGGCAGGAACGAAACGGUGAGCUCUAACAUAGCUUGCUAAUGACGGUACCUGAAAAAGAAGCACCGGCUAACUACGUG
Molecule: ribosomal RNA, 484 nt
Filed under: uncultured bacterium
Lineage: Bacteria
Description: partial 16S ribosomal RNA
Rfam family: Bacterial small subunit ribosomal RNA
Source: RNAcentral